AUUUUAAAAAUAUUUUGUGAAAAUUUAAAGUGAAUCCGACAAAUUCUUUUCGAGAUAUUCAACAAUUAACAAAGGGCGCUUGGGCGCUACGGAGCGUUCGAGAGCAGUGAUUUACCAUGGGACGUGACUGUAGAAAGGUUUCAAGACAACUUCGAAGUUCUGAAAAUAUAUAUGGCCCAGGAAUAGAUGACUCAGUAUGAAUCUCCAAGGACUUGUGAUGAUCACCGCAAGGGACUUCUGGAGGAACGGGCUCCACACAAACAGCGAUAACUUUUCAAAUUAUUAAUUUUUUUUUU
RNAcentral lists this long non-coding RNA (296 nucleotides) under Hermetia illucens (black soldier fly). RNAcentral describes it as "uncharacterized LOC119653651". Lineage: Eukaryota; Metazoa; Arthropoda; Insecta; Diptera; Stratiomyidae. The record is from RNAcentral.